CCUACGGGUGGCAGCAGUCGAGAAUCAUUCACAAUGGGGGAAACCCUGAUGGUGCGACGCCGCGUGGGGGAAUGAAGGUCUUCGGAUUGUAAACCCCUGUCAUGUGGGAGCAAAUUAAAAAGAUAGUACCACAAGAGGAAGAGACGGUUAACUCUGUGCCAGCAGCCGCGGUACUACAGAGGUCUCAAGCGUUGUUCGGAAUCACGGGGCGUAAAGCGUGCGUAGGCUGUUUCGUAAGUCGGGUGUGAAAGGCGCGGGCUCAACCCGCGGACGGCACAUGAUACUGCGAGACUAGAGUAAUGGAGGGGGAACCGGAAUUCUCGGUGUAGCAGUGAAAUGCGUAGAUAUCGAGAGGAACACUCGUGGCGAAGGCGGGUUCCUGGACAUUAACUGACGCUGAGGCACGAAGGCCAGGGGAGCGAAAGGGAUUAGAUACCCGGGUAGUC
RNAcentral lists this ribosomal RNA (446 nucleotides) under uncultured bacterium. Its description in RNAcentral is "partial 16S ribosomal RNA". It matches the Rfam family "Bacterial small subunit ribosomal RNA", at positions 338 to 795 of the family's 1533-position model. The record is from RNAcentral.